This is a non-coding RNA of Pelobates cultripes (western spadefoot toad), 280 nucleotides long. Lineage: Eukaryota; Metazoa; Chordata; Amphibia; Anura; Pelobatidae. The record is from the annotation of a GenBank genome assembly.
CUACUGCACUGCCUGCUCCUUCAUUGCAUGUGGGUUUGGCUUCCUUCAUGGAGUGUUCUAAUGGAGUGCAUGUUGCUGAUGAAGAUGUUUUGCUGUGUUUUCUUUUUUUUUUUUUUUGGUUGAUGGUCUCCCUCCUGUAGGUGCCCGGCUUGCUGUGGGGUCUGGAUUAGAGAGAUACACACAUUGUAUGGCAGCCAGACACACUGCAAGGACUGCAAGUGACAGAGGCUGCUCUCUGAUACCAGGUUUCUUCCUGCUGCCUGUUUGCCUAUCAUCAGUC